UCUGCCACCCACUUCACCACACUGUGGGGGUGAAUCGGCCUCCCGGACCCACUAGUCGUCGGCAUUCCUGUGGAGGUCGGCGCCAGUUCAUUUCGCGUUUCUCCUUCUGCACUCUCUAGGGUUAGCUUCUCUCCUAGCACAGAUCUCAGAUCCAAUGGAGUCUCCCCUCCCGUUCCUUCGGCAAUCGAUUCGUCCUAAUUGCUCCUGGAUCCGGCGAUUUCGCGCGGUGGGAACCAUAGAUCGGAGGUGGGGAGGCUAGUUGCGCCUCCACUGGCCGCAUGCCUCACGCCGCCGCUCGAAUCGAUGGAUGUCAAGACCCGCGUCGUCGUCGUCGUCCUCCGCCUGCCGGUAAGAGACGCCUCUCAAUCCGUUCUUCCUGCUAUCGUUUGCCAGUUGUUGGUGCUGGUCGGGGUGGGCCUGAAUCAGACGGAGCCCAACCAGUGUGUGGAUUUUGCGAUUGGGAUUGCCUUCGGGGUGAGAUUUAGGGAAUUUGAUGCGCGAUCCUCGCCGGCAUCAGGGAUUACACGCCGCCUACGGAAGAUCUCCCUCUGUCAGUCACUCUCCUUUUUCCUCUUAUUCAUUCUUCCUCGGGGUUUGAAUCUAGAGGCUAGUUUCGACUCUUGUUAAAUUUCCUACGCUACAUAUUUGGAUUGGGCAUUUUGGUUCUGUUGCAAUGACGAUAGUGGAGCAGGAACAUAACAGCUUUCACGAUUUGAAUCAGUGAUCACUGAUGCAUAUUUGGGUUUCAUGAUGAUUAAUGAAUGACUUUUGAUACUUUAGAGCACUGCAAUUGUAUGCACCAUUGUUUCUGCUCUGCUGCAAAAAUAGUAUGUAACGGUAGCUGUUCUGCCAUGUUUUCAGCGGAAGCAGUACUUCAUGAAUUCAUUACUUAUAGCUUUGGUGUUGUUUAUGGGGACCUAAGCACAUCACCUUUCUAUGCUUAUAAAAGUAUAUUCUGUGGAAAGCUCCGUCAAUACUCAAUACGAAGAUGGAGAAAUUGCAAUCAGUGUACUUUCCUUCAUAUUUUGGACAUUCACUCUUAUUAGAGUGCAUGACAUCUUGCAUGUGCAUCAUCCUAUAUGGUUCCAACCUAUGUUUUUGGCAUGUCAUUAGUGUAAACUGUAAGCUACUUGCCCCCUCGGAUUAUUUGGUUUUCACCCAUUUACACAAUGUUUCAGAGUGGCCUUUUUUUGUUCAUGUCUGAUCUAUGCAUGAGCAAAUGUGAUAAUUAGAAGUAAUAUUCUCAUUUAGGAACAAUGUUAUUCUUUGUUAGCAAAGUACUAUUCUCAGUUAGGCAAAGUACUAUUGUCAGUUAGCAAUGUUCUAUUCUUAGAUGGGCAAAGUAGUGUUUUUAGUCUGGCAAAGUACUGCUAUUAGCUAGGCAAAGUAUAUUGUGCUUCAGUUUAUUUUAGUAGGCAAAGUAUUAUUCCUGGAUAUAGCAGCAGUUGCUUCCUGUGUUGUUUAGGCUAAGAUAAGCUUUGUUUUUUAUGGAUAUGAUUUUGAUCCACUGGCAAAUUGAUUCGCUUCGUAUUAAUUUUUGUGCAAUUAGUGUUUAGAGGGACUAAUCAUGUGGCUCCAUCCAGAGGAUUUACUUGUAUCAGAACUUCACUUUAGCUAAGGUCCCCACCUCCAUGCUAUGUUCCUCUUGUUCUAUUUUUUGCCAUGAUGAGCCCAGAUAUUUUAUCUUGUAGUCAACAUAAGCUAAAUCAACUAGCAAACUAUUCAUUUUAGUUUAUAAUGUUUGUGUUCUGAUUUAAGAAUUUUCAUUGACAGUGCCCACCAUGAGACACCAUGCUUUAUUCAGGCAGUUUAUAAUGCUCUCACUGGAGGUGAAUUUGGAGGGCUCCCAAGACCGCAAGAAGUGCAUGCCCAUGUUGGUGAUUUGUCUUCUCUAGUAUAGAGUUGGAUAGCUAGACCAGUAGCUUGAGGAAGUAGAGUUGACAAUUGAUAUUGAUAUUGAUGCAAAUGGUGUGUACAAGGACAACCCUGCAUGUAAAAAGUGGGGGUGAAGAAUUAUUUGAGUUGAAUACACGAAUGCUUUUUGUGUCAGAGAGGUAGGCAAUUUUUGGCAUAAACUUCUAAGCAUUUUAAUUGGAUUAGUUGUCAGAGAGUUGAAUACAAGCUAUUUAUUUUUUUUGGCUGGUUAUUUACUAUCGCUGGUGCUUACUGUGCUGUUCUUUAUCAUCUAUUUCUUGGAAGCUAUUUGAAAAAAAAAAGAGAAAGCAAAUAUUGUUAGGUGGUUUGCAAUUCCACAUCAACUUGAUUUUUUUCAGAUUAUUCUUAAACUGAUAUUGUUGCAUGUUCAUUUUCUCAUAAUUAUGUGUUAUGUGUUAGCAUUUUUUCAUAUUUUGGUGAGUUUUUUGCUAUUUUUGCUCAACUAAACAAUUUCAGAAGCAAAAAUUCAUUUUUAAUCUAGCAUUUUGUAUUCUAGUUGAGCAUUUUUGUACUGAUUCAAUUCUUUUGUUUGGUGCUUUGGUGCUUAGGUGUUAUAGCAAGCUCACACAAAUCUUGAUGGAGGGAUACCACUUUUUAAAUUUGGUGAUGGAGGAUGAUGACUGAAGACUUAUUUUUGUGAAUGUUUAGAAUUUAGAUGGCAAAAAAUACUUUUGUAUAUAUUCAUAUUUGCUUACAGCUUUUCAAAGCUUUGCUUGCGAUGUCCCCAAAAGUUGCUUUUUAUUA
Panicum hallii is the source of this 2679-nucleotide RNA transcript. RefSeq lists it as uncharacterized. The record is from RefSeq and is a predicted model, not a curated record. The transcript has 2 exons. NCBI's taxonomy places the organism in Eukaryota, Viridiplantae, Streptophyta, Magnoliopsida, Poales, Poaceae.